CAUGCGUGUGUGCAUGUGUGUGCACCAGGGCCACAUCUGAGGCCACUCCUUGGGCUGCACCGUGCAUUGUUCUUUGGACCCGUGAGUCCCACAGUGAACUCUGCAGGCCGGAGCUCAGCGCAUUUCUACGCCCUGUGGCCCAAUGGUUUGCCACGUCAGAAAAUCACUUGUGAGAGCGGAGCUGGCCGCUUGGAGGGCGAGGCCCACAGUGGACGACGUGAUUGGCUCCGUGUAUCCUGCAGGCUGCGCUUCGCCUCCACUGAGCUGCAGCAGGAACGUGACCACUGAGCCAUCCUGCCGCUCUGCUGUCUUCCUGCAGCUCAAGAGCCUGGCCAUGGAUGCCAUGGUUGUCGGACAUCAUCUCAGCUCCUAGGAUUAGGUCACGCGUGGUAUUUCUGGUCUGUUGACCUGCAGCUAGGGUCAUCUCUGGGGAGCGGGGGCAUGUAUACUGACGCUGAGGCCGGUGUGACCGCAAAGCCCUUGAACCCCACAGUCACGCUGUAAAAUAAAUGCCCUCGGUGCCUUCUGCACAAAGCCCUUCUGCAUAAAACCCAUCGCUCAGCCCACCGGGUCUUCACAAGGACAAAAUUGUUGAAAGUCCUUUACUUCUGAGCAUUUCUUUUUAGCAAUGUGUGCUUUACUUAUGGUGUCUUCUGCUGAGGCCGAUGUGAGUUAUUGGGCUUAUAUUCCUAAUCCACCUUUAUUUGAGCCUGCUACUUGGGGGGAAACAGAUUUGGUGUUAUACACCACUCCACACAUUGUAUCAUUUCCUUGAAAAACUUUGACUUAUUUGAAUAAGCAUGAUGGAGCUUUGUAUAAUUUUACUUAUGCUGGCUCAAAGAUGCCUUUAUGUUUAGGACAGAGACCAUGUCUCCAAAGGGGCUAUCAAAAUUGGCUAUUACCAGGAAAAAAGGUUACAGGCUCCAGACCUCAUUGCAACGAUUGACAGCUUGGUCUAUAAACCAAAAUUGGAGUAACAUUAUAUUUGUUAGUGAGCCACUAUAUUCUGUUUGUGCUCAAUUAACUUACAUAGACUUAAAGUAUCGCCCAUUCAUUUGGAAGAAUUGCCUUGGCACGUUUGGAAAAAUUAUUCAAGACAAAUGGAUACAUUGGGGUACUUAUGGUCAAUCAGAAUGGAAUGUUACCGCUUGUGAUUUGCCUAAUGUUACCAGGAGAGUGGAGAGGAGAAUGAACACCUUAAUGGAUCCUUGCUGAUGGAAUGGGGAGAUGGUGGCAUUGUUGACAAUCGAUGGCCUCUGUGGAAGAUCCCAGUGCGCUUCAAACUCAUUUGUGGAAGACUGGUGCUGCAUUAAAAGAAGUUGUGUUUGCUAAUGGAAGCUUUUCUGAGUCUGCUCAAUCUGCCUCUCAGGAUAAUUUUACCACAUAUAAGAAAGAAAAGUUUACUACUUGUACUCCUCUGCCAGAUUUGUUUUUAAUAGGUAGAUUUAAUUUUGCUAAUGGAUUUGCUUGUACUAACUGUCAUUAGUAUUCAUGUAUUAAUUCAUCUAUUCAGUUUAAUAUAAAUCAAUAUUCUAUUAUGAUAUUCAGCAAAAAAUAUAUGUAUGGAUGCCUGUUAAUUUGAGACAUCAUUGGUCUCAAGAUCCUCUUAAUUAUAUGAUUAUUGAAUUUUUUAAUAAUCUGCUGAAGUGAAGUAAAAUAAUGAUUAGAGUCAUUGUAGCUACUAUUUUAAGCCUUAUUUCUGUUGCUACUUUGGCAGCAGUGUCCAGCAUCGCAUUAAAAAUAUCUGUUCAGACAAAGCAUUUUGUUGAAGACUGGCAUAAAGAUUCACAUGAGUUGUGGAUAGAGCAAACUAAAAUUGAUAGUAGACUUCAACAUCAAGUAGAUGUUUUAAAAUAAACAGGAUGGUUGGGUCUAAAGAUGUUAUCUAUUGAAAUAUAUGUGGAUUUGAGAUAUGAUUGGAAUUCUACUUUUUGUGUUACUGAAUAUAUGUAUAAUUAUGCAGAACAGGAUUGGAAGAUAAUUCAAGCCUAUUAAGAAGGUAAUGAUAGUGCUACCAAAGUAAUUAAUGCCUUGGAAUAUGAUGUUUGAACGUCUUUUGGUAAACAGCUAGAAGAAACUACCCCUGCAGAAAUAGCUAAAUUAUUGGCUGAUCAGUUGACAGGAUUAGCUCCCAAAGCUUGGCUUCAAAGUAUUUUCCAUAGCUUGGGAGGGGCUAGUUUUGCCAUAAUAUUAUGUGCAUUAUGUAUUAUGUUGCUUUAUUUUUACAUAAUUAAACCCCUACAAGAGCAUUUAGCUAUGUUAUGGAAAGUGUUACUUUUAAAACAAAAGAAAGAAGAAGGAAUUGUUGAGACAUAGAGAUGCAGCUCCCAGGCAGGGUCAAGUAAGGACUGGUGACAGGAGCAAGUAGGGGCUGGAAUGCCGCCCUUGAGAAGAAAAUGUUUUUCUCACUUGGCCUUAAACUGUGUUCUGCUGUGUCCUGUUCCUGUGGAAGCAGUUCUCACGCUCUCUUGGUAAUGGGGAGUAUACUUUGAUAAUAAGAAGGGGGCGAUUUGUUAUGUGAAUAUUUUGAGAAGAAACCUUUGUUUAGUCGUAUUCCUUUGUUUACUUUUGCCUCAGUUGUUCCUGAUAUCGUGGGAAUAAUGAUCUUAUGGUAUCUUGCCAAAAUGGAAAUUGUAUUAAUGCAUAUUCAUAUCUACAUAAGGAUUAAUAAAGCUCGCAACUGUGUGCAGUUGCUUCUGUCUUUCUUCUGCA
Molecule: long non-coding RNA, 2712 nt
Organism: Rattus rattus (black rat)
Lineage: Eukaryota; Metazoa; Chordata; Mammalia; Rodentia; Muridae
Exons: 2
Source: RefSeq, a predicted model, not a curated record